GGAUUUCUAACCCGCAGCACUUAUCGUGCUGGGAGACAGUGUCAGGCGGGCAGUUUGACUGGGGCGGUCGCCUCCUAAAGUGUAACGGAGGCGCUCAAAGGUUCCCUCAGAAUGGUUGGAAAUCAUUUAUAGAGUGUAAAGGCAUAAGGGAGCUUGACUGCGAGACCUACAAGUCGAGCAGGGUCGAAAGACGGACUUAGUGAUCCGGUGGUUCCGCAUGGAAGGGCCAUCGCUCAACGGAUAAAAGCUACCCCG
RNAcentral lists this ribosomal RNA (255 nucleotides) under Staphylococcus coagulans. RNAcentral describes it as "partial 23S ribosomal RNA". It matches the Rfam family "Bacterial large subunit ribosomal RNA", at positions 2216 to 2470 of the family's 2925-position model. Lineage: Bacteria; Bacillati; Bacillota; Bacilli; Caryophanales; Staphylococcaceae. The record is from RNAcentral.